Molecule: ribosomal RNA, 253 nt
Filed under: uncultured bacterium
Lineage: Bacteria
Description: partial 16S ribosomal RNA
Rfam family: Bacterial small subunit ribosomal RNA
Source: RNAcentral
UACGGAGGGUGCAAGCGUUAAUCGGAAUUACUGGGCGUAAAGCGCGCGUAGGCGGUUUGGUAAGUCAGAUGUGAAAGCCCCGGGCUCAACCUGGGAACUGCAUUCGAUACUGCCAGACUAGAGUAUGUUAGAGGAGAGUGGAAUUCCGGGUGUAGCGGUGAAAUGCGUAGAUAUCCGGAGGAACAUCAGUGGCGAAGGCGACUCUCUGGGACAAUACUGACGCUGAGGUGCGAAAGCGUGGGGAGCAAACAGG